RNAcentral lists this transfer RNA (65 nucleotides) under Nobia grandis. Its description in RNAcentral is "tRNA-His". Lineage: Eukaryota; Metazoa; Arthropoda; Thecostraca; Balanomorpha; Pyrgomatidae. The record is from RNAcentral.
GUCUAAAUAGUUUAUUAAAAAUUUAAGUUUGUGGUACUUAAGAUGUAAGUUUUUUACUUUGGACU